ACACACACACACACACACACACACACACACACACACAGUGUUUCUACUCAUUUCUGUUGUGCUCUUUCUGCAAAUUGCAUGCACAUAUUCACUCAAAUUAUGUACACAUCUGACAAGACAUCUAUGUGACUAUGUGGCUAUGUUUUAUGUUAGUAUAUUAGCAGAGGGGUGUGAGCAACACAGAAUAAAACGGCUAAGGAGCAAUUCCAGACAGAGAGGAAAUGAAAUGAUUUUGGAAAAGGAGACAAAUCAAGAUGGAGGGUGAGGGAGGAGUGAGUGAGACCCUGAGUGAGGGAAAGCGAGGAAGAGAGAAAGCAUGUGCAAGACACACAAGUGCUUUAGUCAGGAGAAUUCCAACCUAACAUCUGUUUCUCAUUCCGACAAUGAAUGCCUUUGAUUCUGGACACACCACAAGGCCAUACACAUACAUGCUACAUCUCCAAGAUAUACAAAAUCACACCACUACCUGUCACUGAUCUUGGAAGAACUGCAUCAACUGUAUACAGACCAAUGCACUUGAGCAGAUUGUUAACUGAAUGCAGUAUAUUAGUGAAUUUAUAACAGCUAAAACUGACCAUUUUGAUUUCAUCAGAAUGACUUACAUAUUCAUACUUUCAGCACCCUUAGCACUCGUGUUACACGAUAUUGCAGUACUGAAAAAGUAUCGCGGUACUACCAGCAUUUUGGAAAAAAAUUUAAUCGGUACUUUUAUUAUGCGACUGGCUAAUAAGGAUCUGUCUCUUUAAGCACAAUCCUGAAAGCGCGUGACGGUGGGGAAAACAACCUUGACUGAGUUUGUGAUAUGAGCAAGAAUACUAGUUCAGAGCAACAGUAAAGAGAGCGUACCACUUUUUCGUUUUGUUCAGAGAUUAGGCUUGAAGAGAUUGCAGCAGCUUCAGCCAAAUCUAAAUUCACUGACAAAGCGAGCGCAUGAAGUGUAAUAUGGAUAUAUUUAGUCUUAAAAGUGAACAGAUAAGACGAGCCACCUAAACACCAGCACGACUGUGCCAGGCAACAGGUCAAACCUGGCCAAACAUCUGACAAACAUCCCGACAUUUUCAGCGAAUUCCAGGACCGACAGGUGAGUUUACUUUUUCACUUCCGUUAUAUCAAUGAAAUGAAUGCAGUGAUAGAAAAGCCUCUCUGCAGUAGUAAUUACAUUUUUUUUAUCCUGCCUCCCGAAAUAAAUACCUAACGCUACUGUUUUUCACCUAACUUAGCGCUCGUCUGAUAAUUAGUCAAAUAUGUCGUUUUAAAUAUCAUUUUUCAGGCGGAUGUCUCCUCACGUGGGAAAUAGUUAUUUUCGACCGCUUCUACUACCAGUAUCCAGUAUCAUGGCGCGCAUCCACCACAGGUUGUGUUCCCUGAUCAUUUCUUACAUCAUUACAUCAUUUCUUCUUGGUGGACUCAUCUAUAGUGUGAGUUUGGAUCUUUUGCUUUCCACUUUUCUUUGCUAAUCACUCUUUUACAGGUGUCCUGGUGCUGCACUAGCCUUGUUCCCAUUAGUGCACAUUCUUGACCUUAUACAGCAAUGUCCCAGUUUUCCACUAUCUAUGUAAGAUAUCUGAGAAAUCUGUGUCACUGCACUGGCUUUACCAAGUCUAGAACCUUCUAAAAGCAUGUAUUGUUAUUCAGCAGGUGACUCUAUCUAGGACUACAAGUUCUACCUAGAGAUGCAGCCUAAAGAGGUGAGUUUUGACUAUGCAUCUGUAAAAUGAGGCUCGGCAGAAUGUUCACAAUCACCCCUAAGAACUUCCAUAUGGAGCUUGCGGAGAACCCACUCCCUUGAACAAAAGGGGCAACCUCUGUGAUCCCGCACAUCUUUACCAAUGUGUUCUAACUUUAGCAAAUGUAUCUACCUCCUCAUUUCCUGUCAUUUUCUACAUGUGCGUAAUUAUAGGAACCCAAAAGGUUUCAUAUCUGAUCAUAUCAGUGACUUCAGUUGACAAACAGACAAACCUUCCUGAUUUUAAUCUCUGUUCCUGGUCAGGAUUCUUGUAACUACAAACUGACUGUGGGAGGAGGGAGAGAAUAGAAAUUUAGAUUUACAAAAUUUAAUUCACACAUCAAGGUUAUGUGAACCACAGCCAUUUAUGCACAAUUUGGCACUAAUCUUCAGUUUCAUCACUCAGUAAUAUAUGCUGAAAUCCACAACUGAACUAAGAAUUUACUGCAUUUAGAAGCAUUUACAUGUACUGUUGGUGUGUUCAGAGUAAAGAGUGCAUUUGUCAUCAUUGUGAACCUUGGUUAUUCACAUAAGACUUUUAGGUGUUUAAUUAGUGGCUAGGCUGAAUAACGUUAUACAGCACCACAGGAGACCAAAAGGGAUCCCCCUAAAAGAGAGAAUGGUUACUUAGAGUAUCACUGUUUCAGUGCCACCUACUGUACUGCUGCUAACAAUAAAAUAGUGUGACCCAGUAAGAACAUGUGACUUAAUACAGAGACAUCUGGCAACCAUGUGGGGGAAAAAAGGGAACAGGAAAAAAAACAAAGGAGAAGACAAGAUAGAGAGAGAAAGAGACAGGGAGGAAGAACAAAUGAAAAUGACAUGCACGUUGAAUCAACGCGCCUCAACAUGUUCUGAUAAAGCAAGCAGGCCAACAAUUACACACUGCUCCCCUCCCAAGAGCCUAGCAGGGUUUUUUUCCAAAUAUGCAAACAUACACACAUUUUUGGACCAUUCGUGUUACGGUUCACAGCCCAGUCACACUAAAAGGUGACGGCCCCAAAUAACUUGCAAUUUUAAAAAAGCUUUGAGAUCCCCACAUCUUCAAGUGUCGGUUAAGUAACAUCAUGACAGUGACAACGGGUGCAUUCUUAAUCAAUUUUAUCUACAUUUACAUUUACGGCAUUUAGCAGACGCUCUUAUCCAGAGCAACUUACAAAAGUGGUGUCUACACCUCUAAAGGUGUGGACAAAGAGUCCACCAAAUGGCAGAUAAAGGUUACAAAACUGUGAUUUGCAGUAAUAGUAAUGCCUACCUUGCCUUGGAAGAAAAUUCAGCUCUCCUCUUUCACUUUCAAUGCUAUGUUCGUAGUUUUAUUACUACAAUCAAAGAAGACUCUUUUAUUGUUUGUACCAAACUUUUGGCAGUAUGCCUGUAGGUUGAGCGUCAGCUGAAACUAGUUAAGGAAUCUACUCUCUAAAUAGAUCUUUCUAAGGUUUUGAAUUGCUUUCAGUUUACUAGCCAUUACUAACAUGAAAGCCUCAAUGUUGUUUCUAAAUCAGUGCAACAAGCUAACUGGAUAACAUUAACACACAUGUCUUUCCUUUUCUUGUUCAAAUAUUUUAACACUUCCUGUUUGGCUUUUGGUUCAGGCCUGCCAUUAAAAUUAGCAAUAACAAAUGUGACACAGUCUUAUACACUACCAGUCCAAAACACACCACCCAAAAGACUGUUAGUUCCACAAACUAAUCACAAAGCAAGUCCAGCAGUGUUGCAUUAACUCUUACUGUGCCCACUGACAUCUACACUGGUAUAACUAUUUAACACAUUGAGUUGUCUUUGUAAAUCUGGUAGUCACAGAAAGAUUGGUUCCAGAGUGAAACAGAGACGAUCAAUUUCCAGACUGGCACCAGGCUGGGACAUUUCUGCAAGAUGAUAACAACUGACAACAGAAAGGUUUAUUGCCAGUAUGUUUUUUUCAAACCGACCAUUGGCAUGAGCUUUAAGUUCCAUGUGAUUGUACACAGCAUGGUGACACUAAGGCACCAUCCACACCAACGUAUGAAUCAUUUAUCCAGCGUUUCCAAUUACGUUCCUGGAGGGCCAAGAAGUUUAAUACGGUUUAUUGUAUUUACAGGUUUGAACACACCAGAUUUAGCAGAUCAUUAUUAAGCCCUUCCUUGGCUAAAUGAGAAUUAGGGACAUUUGCACAUUGGCAUCAUUUUAGUUCAAGAACUGCUAAGAGUCAUUGUGGAAAAGGAAAGACAUUACCAGCUGAGUGAAUACUGUAUCACCAGAGGAUGCAACAUAUAAAGCUGAUAGAAAUGAGAUUGUCUGCUUAUGGUGAAUUGCAUUUAGCAUCAGUCUCAUUAAACAGUAUUAUUCUAUUUAAUAUAUUGUUACACUGCCAGACAUGCUUAAGAUACCUGUUAAUAUUUGAAUUUACUACAGAACUCCUAUUUGUGCAAGAAGUCUUUUGCAUAUAAAUAGCACACACCAAUAUAUUAAAAAUGUGUGUAGUAUCUUACAUCAUACAGAACUAUGGGGGUAUUCACAAAAUAGUCUGCUAUGGUCCAUUUGAAGUAAACACAGCCUGUGUUGAAAUAAACCCACCCAUCACCCUACAAAAUCCACCUGAUUGGUCCAAACUGCAUGUGUUUUCUUUUAAACACUGCUAGGCUUAAGAUGCCUUGUCAGGUGAGGCGUAAUGAUCAAACACACACACGCAUGCAUGCAUGCACAC
Non-coding RNA from Electrophorus electricus (electric eel), 4409 nucleotides. The record is from RefSeq and is a predicted model, not a curated record. Lineage: Eukaryota; Metazoa; Chordata; Actinopteri; Gymnotiformes; Gymnotidae.